RNAcentral lists this long non-coding RNA (272 nucleotides) under Fukomys damarensis (Damara mole-rat). RNAcentral's name for it is "lncRNA (ENSFDAG00000029239.1)". Lineage: Eukaryota; Metazoa; Chordata; Mammalia; Rodentia; Bathyergidae. The record is from RNAcentral.
UAGAUACACCAUGGGAGUUUCUUAAUGCUGGGAACCUCCUUCUCCUACCGCUUUGACAAAGAGGACUGUCCAUAGCUCUCAGUACAGAUCCAGGAUGACUAAAUGGGAAGCUGAAAUUAUAUCUCCCAAGCCAAGAAGGUGACACAGCCUCCUCAUCACAGCAGCACUGGCAGACAGCUGCAAAAGACAACAGGACUGAACAUUGACUCUGCGGGUUCCCAAACCAUUCCAAAAGUAGCUUGGAAAGGAUGCACUGCAAGGAUUACACUAAA